CCUACGGGAGGCAGCAGUGAGGAAUAUUGGUCAAUGGGCUUACGCCUGAACCAGCCAAGUCGCGUGAGGGAAGACUGCCCUAUGGGUUGUAAACCUCUUUUGUCAGGGAGCAAUUGGCGCUACGUGUAGCGUUAUCGAGAGUACCUGAAGAAAAAGCAUAGGCUAACUCCGUGCCAGCAGCCGCGGUAAUACGGAGGAUGCGAGCGUUAUCCGGAUUUAUUGGGUGUAAAGGGUGCGUAGGCGGAAUGCCCAGUCAGCGGUAAAAUCGCGGGGCUCAACCUCGCUCCGCCGUUGAAACUGGCGUUCUUGAGUGGGCGAGAAGUAUGCGGAAUGCGUGGUGUAGCGGU
RNAcentral lists this ribosomal RNA (347 nucleotides) under uncultured bacterium. RNAcentral describes it as "partial 16S ribosomal RNA". It matches the Rfam family "Bacterial small subunit ribosomal RNA", at positions 338 to 682 of the family's 1533-position model. The record is from RNAcentral.